Long non-coding RNA from Coccinella septempunctata (seven-spotted ladybird), 307 nucleotides. RefSeq lists it as uncharacterized. The transcript is spliced from 2 exons. The record is from RefSeq and is a predicted model, not a curated record. NCBI's taxonomy places the organism in Eukaryota, Metazoa, Arthropoda, Insecta, Coleoptera, Coccinellidae.
GGCCAGUUUCAUUUGACUGUUGACAGACCGUGAAAAAAUUGAUGCAAAUUUUUAAGGUUUAAUUAUUAUUGAAAUUAAAGGAUAUAUUCAAUAUAUUUACUACAUUUCUCCCCGUACGAUAAAACUUCGAAGCUCUCAUCACAGUUGAACUUUUUUCCAUAAUCGGAAAGUUAGGUUAUUAUUGAAUUCUGAGAUAUAAAACACAGUUCUUGGACGUGAAUCUGCACAUAUCAAUUUAUCAGAUACAGAAAUGAAAAAAUCCUAGGAUGGCAAUUAUCAUCCCUCGGAGAGACUGUAUUAGGAAUAA